This 439-nucleotide ribosomal RNA is filed under the name uncultured Glomeromycotina. RNAcentral's name for it is "SSU rRNA". It matches the Rfam family "Eukaryotic small subunit ribosomal RNA", at positions 596 to 1037 of the family's 1831-position model. Lineage: Eukaryota; Fungi; Glomeromycota. The record is from RNAcentral.
AGCGUAUAUUAAAGUUGUUGCAGUUAAAAAGCUCGUAGUUGAACUUCGGGGUUCACCCAUUGGUCAGGCUUAAUUGUCUGUACUGGUGAGAUGAGUCUCUACCUUCUGAGGAACUUUCAUGCCAUUUGUUUGGUGUGAUGGGAAAUCAGGACUGUUACUUUGAAAAAAUUAGAGUGUUUAAAGCAGGCUAACGUCUGAAUACAUUAGCAUGGAAUAAUGAAAUAGGACGGAUUGAUUCUAUUUCGUUGGUUUCUAGGGUCACCGUAAUGAUUAAUAGGGAUAGUUGGGGGCAUUAGUAUUCAAUUGUCAGAGGUGAAAUUCUUGGAUUUAUUGAAGACUAACUACUGCGAAAGCAUUUGCCAAGGAUGUUUUCAUUAAUCAAGAACGAAAGUUAGGGGAUCGAAGACGAUCAGAUACCGUCGUAGUCUUAACCAUAAAC